RNAcentral lists this long non-coding RNA (571 nucleotides) under Mytilus galloprovincialis (Mediterranean mussel). The record is from RNAcentral. Lineage: Eukaryota; Metazoa; Mollusca; Bivalvia; Mytilida; Mytilidae.
GUCGGAUAAAUUUAGAGGAAAAAAACAUGUAAAAGAUACAACGAUGGACCACAACGACGAAAGACAAGUGACGGCUAAUAAUCCAUGCGCAUAACAAGUUGCCAUUUUGUUGUCUUUUCUACUUAUAACAAACCUAUUUUUUAUUCGUAUUAAAUACAUCAUAGUUAUUUAUUGAACUUAAGGGUUUUUGUCCCUUGAUCAAAUUAAAGUUGUUCUUUAGUCUUUCGGAGUUUCUGUGGAAACUAUUUACUUCUUGUCUAGGUCAAAGAGAUCAAGAAAUACUUUAACGAGCAAUGCACGGGGAAGCUUUUUUCAUCACAGUAAAAUAAACACUUGUCUUCCUUACGUUAACAUGUGGUGUAGUUCAAUUGCUGUUUGUCAACGUUAAAUCAAGUUGUUCUUUAGUCUUCCGGAGUUUCUAGAUCAACUAGAUUGAGAUAUACUUUAACGAACAGGGAAGCUUAUUGAUCACAGUAAAAUAAACACUUGAUACACUAGUCUUCCUUUAGUUAACGUAUGGUGUAGUUCAAUUGCUGUUUGUCAACGUUAAUUCUAGUUUCCUAUAAUAAUC